AUGCAACGGACUAGUUUUGCUAGAUCAUUAUGUGGUCAAUCCCGCCGCACGACGUUGGGCAAGCCUGCCCCCACGCCCAUCUCCUCCUUGGGGUUUGAGCUCUUUUAUCAUGAACGAAACUACAUCGUGUUUGAUCCCACGGUGUCGCCGCACUACCAAGUGCUUAGGUUCCUACAUGUACCCCCCCGUGGGCGUGGACUGGACGCAGAGAAGAAGCAACAGCAAUGGCCUCCAUCUCCAUACAUGAUGCAUGUUUUCUCUUCAGAAACAACAAGAUGGAAAGAGAGAUCAUUCAUCCGACAGGGAGGUACCCUAGGGACUCUUGCCGACAUGUUACUGCUUGAGCUGCCAAUGCCAGAUGAACUAUACGCCGUGUACUGGCAUGGUGAAAUCUACGUGCACUGUCAUUUUGUUAUGAGAAUAUCGUUAUCAAGUGGCACGUACCAAGCAAUUAAACUGCCAACAGAUGUUGAUCAGCACCGGUGCGCACAGGUUCUCCUUGGAAGAUCAGAGAAGGGGGUGUAUUUUGCAGCACUUGAUGCUCAAUGUCAGCUUCGAGUUUGGAUACUCACUGAAUGCUGCGGUCAGAGUGAGUGGCUUCUGAAGCAUGGUAACAACCUUCACCAAAUCCCUCCACGUCAAAACUAUGAUCCACAAGUUCACAGACCCUGCUGGAUUAUGGCAGAUAUCAAUCCAGCUAUUUACAGUACAGUAAAAGAGAAGUUCGAGUUGAAUUCAGACCAUGAGAUAAUCUUUGAAACUAGACUUGAAGGGCACAGGUGGGAUGAACAUAUUAAGAUCCUUGGAUUUCAUCCUUACAAAGAAAUUAUUUAUUUCAGUGAAACGUUGAACAGAGGAUAUGCCUAUCAUCUAGAUGAACUCAAGCUAGAAGACUUGGGCAACAUGCGCCCAAAAAGAUUGGAUGACUGCUAUAAUAAGGAACUAGAAAGAUCUAUUCCAUAUACACCUUGUUUGUUGGGCCCAUACACAUGA
RNAcentral lists this ribosomal RNA (993 nucleotides) under Triticum aestivum (bread wheat). Its description in RNAcentral is "partial small subunit ribosomal RNA". The record is from RNAcentral. Lineage: Eukaryota; Viridiplantae; Streptophyta; Magnoliopsida; Poales; Poaceae.